AGCCUGGUGGUGGUGAAACACAGGUGGUGUGUACUCCGCUUCGCGGCUCGUGCAGGCCCCCAGCAUGUGCGGCUUCGCCCGCUCUGCGGGUGCACUGGUUGGAGGGUGGCGUGUCGGUGUGCUGUUGCCCUUAUUAUCUCAUUUGUUUCUUCGUAUCAUGUUUCUCAUCAUCUGUUUCACAUUUUAUAUGACUGCGUUCGUGACGUUUGGAUGUGCCGUUGCGAGAGCUUGCAGGGACCGUAGGAACGAGCGAAGACCGGUUGGCGGGAUUCCAGAAGGGCUUCGUGUAUAGACUUCAAACCUUGGAGAUAGCGGAGUAUUCGGCAGAAGGAAAGAUGAAAAGGAAUAUGCACUGAAGCAAAUUGAAGGUACAGGGAUAUCCAUGUCCGCCUGUAGAGAGAUUGCAGUAAGUGUACAUAAAUGAAAGAAAGUGUUUUUACUGACAUUAUAAUUCAACAGAUAAUAUAUUUUUAUUCUCUGAAUUAAAUAACGCAAAGCUUAUCUAAAUGUUUUCCUUGAAGUAUGCAAGCGUGAAAGUUAUUCAAACAUGAGCUUUCCUUAAAAUGCUUUCUAAAUGUUAUUAUUAUUAUUUUUUAAAAAAUGUGUGGAUGUGUGGAAAGAGGUGUUCUCGCUAGGUAAUGGUAAUUCCUCUUUCUGGUAUUGUUUUUGUUUUAUCUGCUUUUAUGUGUUGGGAGGGAAAUAAAAGUGGCCCUUUUAAUGAAGAUUUAUUUAAA
RNAcentral lists this long non-coding RNA (734 nucleotides) under Apteryx haastii (Great spotted kiwi). RNAcentral's name for it is "lncRNA (ENSAHAG00000003976.1)". The record is from RNAcentral. Lineage: Eukaryota; Metazoa; Chordata; Aves; Apterygiformes; Apterygidae.